ACACUCCUACGGGAGGCAGCAGUGGGGAAUAUUGCACAAUGGGCGCAAGCCUGAUGCAGCCAUGCCGCGUGUAUGAAGAAGGCCUUCGGGUUGUAAAGUACUUUCAGCGGGGAGGAAGGCAAUACGGUUAAUAACCGUGUUGAUUGACGUUACCCGCAGAAGAAGCACCGGCUAACUCCGUGCCAGCAGCCGCGGUAAUACGGAGGGUGCAAGCGUUAAUCGGAAUUACUGGGCGUAAAGCGCACGCAGGCGGUCUGUCAAGUCGGAUGUGAAAUCCCCGGGCUCAACCUGGGAACUGCAUUCGAAACUGGCAGGCUUGAGUCUUGUAGAGGGGGGUAGAAUUCCAGGUGUAGCGGUGAAAUGCGUAGAGAUCUGGAGGAAUACCGGUGGCGAAGGCGGCCCCCUGGACAAAGACUGACGCUCAGGUGCGAAAGCGUGGGGAGCAAACAGGAGUAGAAACCCUUGUAGUCCCA
RNAcentral lists this ribosomal RNA (473 nucleotides) under uncultured organism. RNAcentral's name for it is "partial 16S ribosomal RNA". It matches the Rfam family "Bacterial small subunit ribosomal RNA", at positions 333 to 797 of the family's 1533-position model. The record is from RNAcentral.